This 1994-nucleotide long non-coding RNA is filed under the name Marmota monax (woodchuck). Lineage: Eukaryota; Metazoa; Chordata; Mammalia; Rodentia; Sciuridae. The record is from RNAcentral.
CUUGAGCGACCAUCUGAUAUUUCUCCUUCUGUGCCUUCUCGUCUCCCCUGUUCUCCACCUUAAAGGCCCCUUGCAGAACCUCAGCUUGGGGAGUUAGGGGCCCCCAUCAAGGUGCCUUAGUUUGGCCUUAAUAUUGGGGAAACUCUGGGAGGAAAAGUAGGUCUCCCAUCUGGAGCCUCAGGUCCAGGUUAGUAUAUUGCAAUAAACCCUGGUCAGGGGUCUAAAAAUGCUGAAGGUUUCAUUCUUAUCUUGGAAGAUUUCCUGGAGCCUUUCAUAAUUGCUGGCCUUGUGGGCUGCCUUUCUCAGUCCUGCCAUGAGGCAAGUAUGAAUUGGUUUCUACGAGUCACUCCUCUAGGCAAAUUACAAUCCCAACUGGGGUCCCGAUCAGGGACUGCCUUAGUGCCCAUCGGAUGGCAGGGGAGGUCUGAUGUACCUCAUCAGCAUAAUUUCUAGCUUGCUCUCAAACUCGCCUGCGGUCCUCAGGCAGGAGGGUGUUAGACAAGAUCAUAUGGACAUCGUGGAAGGUCAAAUACCUGACUUAUCAAUAUCAAAUACCUGACUUAUAUGAUUGAGUCAGGUAUUGAAACUCUUUGGUCUAUGUGUUGGGACUUGAAGUGUAGGACCCAAGCUGCUUUUCCAUCUGUGAAAGAUCUGACAAAGAGAAAGGCACAUGAACCCGAUUACACCAUCCACCCAGCCGCCUCGCGUAGAGGACACAGAGAUGCAGGUUGAGCAGUGGUAAUCCGUGAGUGUGUGGCAGGAGGACAGAGGGCGGAGGGGCGUGGGGACAGUUGCUGCAGAGGCUUCAAUAGAAACAGAAUUGUGGCAUGGUGGGGGCUCAUCUGCUGGGUGGAAGGAGAAGGAGUCCUGGGUAGGGUCUUCUGUCCCUUUGGAAGCAGGCGCAGAGGAGGUGAGAGCUAAGAGGACUUGUGCGGGUGAGCAGGAGUUGCAGAGAGAGGGCUUAGAACGUAGGGAGGAGAAGGCCUGAACGUAUGAAAUCUCUUUCCAUUUUCCCAAACACUCAAGAUAGUUGAAAAGAUCCCUGAUGAUAUUGGGAUCUAGAGUGUCAUUAAGCGGCCAUUUAGAGUCGUCAUCCAAAGGAUAUUGAGGCCAGAUCUGAUUGCACAAGUGGAUGAGUUUCUGGGGGUUUAGGUCCAGGGUGAGAGAGAGAGACCCUAGGUUAGCCAGGAGGCAGCCCAGGGGGCUAUGGGAGGGCAUGGACGAGGAGCUGCCCAUGGUGAGACAGAGGAGGUGAGUUUAGAGGUGGGGCGUCCCCCAGUCUCUAAUAUUAUCUAGUUGAGAGGAUGGUUAAGCUCAGGGGCUCGUCACCACUGCUGAGUAAGCAUUGGUGAAGUAGCCCAUAGGGGCACUCGGGCACCUGGCUGGGACUGCGUAUUAGGGGCAGAAGCCCGUAGAGAUGAACCCACAGCUAAGAGGUUGUCUCACCAGGAACAAUUCCCAAUUGUCCUCGGUGUUUUUUUUCUCAAAAUCCAGGAUCUAAAUGAAAAACCACCUAUAGACCUGGUCAACAGUAGGGAUCAGCCGUCGCUGUGAGAACUGUGGUUGGGGGUGCCCACCCACACAGGAACCCUAGGAGUGCAGGACGAUCAGCGGUCACUUCCCAGGACCCAUAGGUCGUUUAGGUCGACCAGAGACAGGGGUCUUCCUUGUAAUAUCUGGUGGUGGGUGAAGAGAGGGUGCUCUGCAGAAUGGAGGGCCUGGUCCCAGGAUGGAAUCCAGAUCAGGGCCCAGGGAUGCUCAGUGACCCUCAAAGAGGGAAGUGGGCACACCGGGGAACCUGAUCUUGGGUUUUGGUACCAAAGAGAAGGGAAAGUGAGAAGUGAAGGCGGAGACCAGGCAUCGACAGACACAGAGUUUACUUGUCAGAGCUGACAGACAAAGGCCACCUCUCUGUGGGAGACAAGGGCAAAGUAGCUUGAGUUCUGGGACUUUAUGGGGAGGCUCAGGAGUCAGAGGGGGGUCCUAAUGCGGGU